Schizosaccharomyces pombe (fission yeast) is the source of this 763-nucleotide non-coding RNA. The record is from the annotation of a GenBank genome assembly. Lineage: Eukaryota; Fungi; Ascomycota; Schizosaccharomycetes; Schizosaccharomycetales; Schizosaccharomycetaceae.
UAACACUUUUAGUAGCACAAUACGGCAACGUAAAUGAGAUCAUUCAUAUACGUAUUAACCCACCCACCCAUCAUAUAAUUCUUGUGUCUGACUGAUGUCACCCCAAAACUUCUCGAGGUACUAAGUAACAAGGAGAGAAGAGGAGAGAGGAGUGUAGGAUUUGAGAAUCGCAGUAUGCAGUAUUACAACAAAGCUGUGUCCACCAUACAAAUUAAGCUUGUUAGAGUCUGUAAAAACAAUGUCUUAAAGCAAAAUUCCUCAACUAGGUCGCAUGUUUCUUUAGACGAUCGUUGGAAAAUUGGGCCAACAAAGAAGAGCACGUAUAGUCACACAAGCUUCAAAAAAGUAGAAAACGGCGAAACAAAGCUUUAAUAUAAGUAAAUAGUAGCUAGAGAUGGAUGUAUUAAUGAAAUCCGUAGAAUGCAAAUUGUCCUAAGGAGAUGGAUGGAUGAUGGCUGGUGAGGAAACUUGCAAAAGUAAGUAUCUCGUGAGUGUUUAUAAACGGUUGAUGUCGAUUGGAAAUCUUAAAUAGCAACUGCUUAAAAGCCGAAAAAAUAUCUUUAUUUUCACCACUUGAGGUUUGAACGAAAGGGCUCUCUGUACAAGAGGAAAUAAAGAUGUUUUUUUACUGCUCGCUGACCCAAUUAAUUAUGUACACCAUUGUAUAUUCUCAGUAAUAGUUAAAAGAUAAAACCAAAAAAAAAAAAAAACUGGCUUGAGUGUUACAAAAGCAACAUACUCUAUGAUUGAGGAUUUCCGAGCC